This 373-nucleotide ribosomal RNA is filed under the name uncultured eukaryote. Its description in RNAcentral is "partial 18S ribosomal RNA". It matches the Rfam family "Eukaryotic small subunit ribosomal RNA", at positions 592 to 976 of the family's 1831-position model. The record is from RNAcentral.
CAAUAGCGUAUAUUAAAGUUGUUGCAGUUAAAAAGCUCGUAGUUGAAUUUUUGCUUGCCGCCGAUGUCGGAACUUCCGUACGUUCGGCGGCGUGCAUCCUUGGGUGGAACCUGUGUGGCAUUAGGUUGUCGUGCAGGGGAUGCUCAUCGUUUACUGUGAAAAAAUUAGAGUGUUCAAAGCAGGCUUACGCCGUUGAAUAUAUUAGCAUGGAAUAAUAAGAUAGGACCUUGGUACUAUUUUGUUGGUUUGCGCACCGAGGUAAUGAUUAACAGGGACAGUUGGGGGUAUUCGUAUUCCAUUGUCAGAGGUGAGAUUCUUGGAUUUCUGGAAGACGAACUACUGCGAAAGCAUUUACCAAGGAUGUUUUCAUUAA